UUAAGCGACUAAGCGUACACGGUGGAUGCCCUGGCAGUCAGAGGCGAUGAAGGACGUGCUAAUCUGCGAAAAGCGUCGGUAAGGUGAUAUGAACCGUUAUAACCGGCGAUGUCCGAAUGGGGAAACCCAGUGCAAUUCGUUGCACUAUCGUUAACUGAAUACAUAGGUUAACGAGGCGAACCGGGGGAACUGAAACAUCUAAGUACCCCGAGGAAAAGAAAUCAACCGAGAUUCCCCCAGUAGCGGCGAGCGAACGGGGAGCAGCCCAGAGUCUGAAUCAGCUUGUGUGUUAGUGGAACGGUCUGGAAAGUCCGACGGUACAGGGUGAUAGUCCCGUACACCAAAAUGCACAGGUUGUGAACUCGAAGAGUAGGGCGGGACACGUGGUAUCCUGUCUGAAUAUGGGGGGACCAUCCUCCAAGGCUAAAUACUCCUGACUGACCGAUAGUGAACCAGUACCGUGAGGGAAAGGCGAAAAGAACCCCGGCGAGGGGAGUGAAAAAGAACCUGAAACCGUGUACGUACAAGCAGUGGGAGCACCUUCGGGUGUGACUGCGUACCUUUUGUAUAAUGGGUCAGCGACUUAUAUUCUGUAGCAAGGUUAACCGUAUAGGGGAGCCGCAGGGAAACCGAGUCUUAACUGGGCGUUAAGUUGCAGGGUAUAGACCCGAAACCCGGUGAUCUAGCCAUGGGCAGGUUGAAGGUUGGGUAACACUAACUGGAGGACCGAACCGACUAAUGUUGAAAAAUUAGCGGAUGACUUGUGGCUGGGGGUGAAAGGCCAAUCAAACCGGGAGAUAGCUGGUUCUCCCCGAAAGCUAUUUAGGUAGCGCCUCGUGAACUCAUCUUCGGGGGUAGAGCACUGUUUCGGCUAGGGGGUCAUCCCGACUUACCAACCCGAUGCAAACUACGAAUACCGAAGAAUGUUAUCACGGGAGACACACGGCGGGUGCUAACGUCCGUCGUGAAGAGGGAAACAACCCAGACCGCCAGCUAAGGUCCCAAAGUCAUGGUUAAGUGGGAAACGAUGUGGGAAGGCACAGACAGCCAGGAUGUUGGCUUAGAAGCAGCCAUCAUUUAAAGAAAGCGUAAUAGCUCACUGGUCGAGUCGGCCUGCGCGGAAGAUGUAACGGGGCUAAACCAUGCACCGAAGCUGCGGCAGCGACACUAUGUGUUGUUGGGUAGGGGAGCGUUCUGUAAGCCUGCGAAGGUGACCUGUGAGGGUUGCUGGAGGUAUCAGAAGUGCGAAUGCUGACAUAAGUAACGAUAAAGCGGGUGAAAAGCCCGCUCGCCGGAAGACCAAGGGUUCCUGUCCAACGUUAAUCGGGGCAGGGUGAGUCGACCCCUAAGGCGAGGCCGAAAGGCGUAGUCGAUGGGAAACAGGUUAAUAUUCCUGUACUUGGUGUUACUGCGAAGGGGGGACGGAGAAGGCUAUGUUAGCCGGGCGACGGUUGUCCCGGUUUAAGCAUGUAGGCUGGUUAUCCAGGCAAAUCCGGAUAAUCAAGGCUGAGGUGUGAUGACGAGGCACUACGGUGCUGAAGUAACAAAUGCCCUGCUUCCAGGAAAAGCCUCUAAGCAUCAGGUAACAUCAAAUCGUACCCCAAACCGACACAGGUGGUCAGGUAGAGAAUACCAAGGCGCUUGAGAGAACUCGGGUGAAGGAACUAGGCAAAAUGGUGCCGUAACUUCGGGAGAAGGCACGCUGGUGUGUAGGUGAAGUCCCUGCGGAUGGAGCUGAGACCAGUCGAAGAUACCAGCUGGCUGCAACUGUUUAUUAAAAACACAGCACUGUGCAAACACGAAAGUGGACGUAUACGGUGUGACGCCUGCCCGGUGCCGGAAGGUUAAUUGAUGGGGUUAUCCGUAAGGAGAAGCUCUUGAUCGAAGCCCCGGUAAACGGCGGCCGUAACUAUAACGGUCCUAAGGUAGCGAAAUUCCUUGUCGGGUAAGUUCCGACCUGCACGAAUGGCGUAAUGAUGGCCAGGCUGUCUCCACCCGAGACUCAGUGAAAUUGAACUCGCUGUGAAGAUGCAGUGUACCCGCGGCAAGACGGAAAGACCCCGUGAACCUUUACUAUAGCUUGACACUGAACAUUGAGCCUUGAUGUGUAGGAUAGGUGGGAGGCUUUGAAGCGUGGACGCCAGUCUGCGUGGAGCCAACCUUGAAAUACCACCCUUUAAUGUUUGAUGUUCUAACGUUGGCCCCUGACCGGGGUUGCGGACAGUGUCUGGUGGGUAGUUUGACUGGGGCGGUCUCCUCCCAAAGCGUAACGGAGGAGCACGAAGGUUAGCUAAUCCUGGUCGGACAUCAGGAGGUUAGUGCAAUGGCAUAAGCUAGCUUGACUGCGAGCGUGACGGCGCGAGCAGGUGCGAAAGCAGGUCAUAGUGAUCCGGUGGUUCUGAAUGGAAGGGCCAUCGCUCAACGGAUAAAAGGUACUCCGGGGAUAACAGGCUGAUACCGCCCAAGAGUUCAUAUCGACGGCGGUGUUUGGCACCUCGAUGUCGGCUCAUCACAUCCUGGGGCUGAAGUAGGUCCCAAGGGUAUGGCUGUUCGCCAUUUAAAGUGGUACGCGAGCUGGGUUUAGAACGUCGUGAGACAGUUCGGUCCCUAUCUGCCGUGGGCGCUGGAGAAUUGAGGGGGGCUGCUCCUAGUACGAGAGGACCGGAGUGGACGCAUCACUGGUGUUCGGGUUGUCAUGCCAAUGGCACUGCCCGGUAGCUAAAUGCGGAAGAGAUAAGUGCUGAAAGCAUCUAAGCACGAAACUUGCCCCGAGAUGAGUUCUCCCUGAGACUUUAAGUCUCCUGAAGGAACGUUGAAGACGACGACGUUGAUAGGCCGGGUGUGUAAGCGCAGCGAUGCGUUGAGCUAACCGGUACUAAUGAACCGUGAGGCUUAACCUU
This 2900-nucleotide ribosomal RNA is filed under the name Klebsiella pneumoniae. Its description in RNAcentral is "bacterial LSU rRNA". It matches the Rfam family "Bacterial large subunit ribosomal RNA". The record is from RNAcentral. Lineage: Bacteria; Pseudomonadati; Pseudomonadota; Gammaproteobacteria; Enterobacterales; Enterobacteriaceae.